GGGCCUGUAGCUCAGCUGGUUAGAGCAGCGGACUCAUAAUCCGUUGGUCGACAGUUCAAGUCUGUCCAGGCCCACCA
This 77-nucleotide transfer RNA is filed under the name Moraxellaceae bacterium. Its description in RNAcentral is "tRNA-Ile". It matches the Rfam family "tRNA". Rfam says of the family: Transfer RNA (tRNA) molecules are approximately 80 nucleotides in length. The record is from RNAcentral. Lineage: Bacteria; Pseudomonadati; Pseudomonadota; Gammaproteobacteria; Moraxellales; Moraxellaceae.